RNAcentral lists this ribosomal RNA (293 nucleotides) under uncultured bacterium. RNAcentral describes it as "partial 16S ribosomal RNA". It matches the Rfam family "Archaeal small subunit ribosomal RNA", at positions 455 to 747 of the family's 1478-position model. The record is from RNAcentral.
GUGCCAGCAGCCGCGGUACUACCGGCAGCCCGAGUGAUGGCCGAUCUUAUUGGGCCUAAAGCGUCCGUAGCUGGCUGCGCAAGUCCAUCGGAAAAUCCACCCGCCCAACGGGUGGGCGUCCGGUGGAAACUGUGUGGCUUGGGACCGGAAGGCGCGACGGGUACGUCCGGGGUAGGAGUGAAAUCCCGUAAUCCCGGACGGACUACCGAUGGCAAAAGCACUCUGAGAAGACGGCUUCGACAGUGAGGGACGAAAGCUCGGGUCUCAAACCGGAUUAGAUACCCUGGUAGUCC